GGAAGAUAUAAAUGUUAGUUCCUAAAGAAAUUCAUUCAGCAAAAGAAGAUAUCACUGCUCUAAGAAGGGAAAUAUGUCAAAAUUUCCAUGUUGAGUUUAGUUUUUUAAGGCAGACUCACUCAAACUUUUCAAGCAUUUACCUGGGGGGAAAAAACAGUGCAGUGUAACCUGAAAAGAAGGGGCCCAGAAAGUGAAGGGGAUAUCAGGAGGGCUGCUUGAUACAUAGAGCAUGACUAUGAGAAGAGAGAAAAAUGACACAUGAGGAGGCAGCAGAGUGCUAUAAAAGGAGGUGGAAGAAUGCCUGGAGGAGAAGUGAGGUAUCAGAUAUGCACAGGGCCUGCAAGGGAAAGAGGGUGUUUGUGAAUAACAGAAGUUUCAAGAGUAUUCAGGAAUUAGAAAAACACCACUGUUAUUAUUGAUGAUGAAGAAAACACUCUCAUCUUCCUAGGCAAAAGACCAUACUGUCAUAUCUAUUCUGAAUACAGGAAAGACACCACACUCCCUUCAAAAGAGUUG
RNAcentral lists this long non-coding RNA (516 nucleotides) under Heterocephalus glaber (naked mole-rat). RNAcentral's name for it is "lncRNA (ENSHGLG00000049712.1)". Lineage: Eukaryota; Metazoa; Chordata; Mammalia; Rodentia; Bathyergidae. The record is from RNAcentral.